CAAUAAAGCUGGGGACAAGGCAUCUGGCCGCAAAACGCUCUGGCCAUAAGUGUGCCACCAAGGAGCAUGUCCAGACGGGCACCAAACAACAGGAAGAGCAAUCGACCGUUCAUCAACAGGGUGACCAAUUCCAACAGUCUCUGUCUGAGAAACACCCCAGCAGGGAUGAUGAAUUGGAGAAUAGAGUGAAGCAACUGUGGGCAAUGUCUUCGGAUGGAGUGGACAGGGCAACCGCACGAUUUUUGUUGGAGGGAUCCGUUGCCAUCCUGCAC
Molecule: non-coding RNA, 272 nt
Organism: Oncorhynchus mykiss (rainbow trout)
Lineage: Eukaryota; Metazoa; Chordata; Actinopteri; Salmoniformes; Salmonidae
Source: RefSeq, a predicted model, not a curated record